This 252-nucleotide ribosomal RNA is filed under the name uncultured bacterium. RNAcentral's name for it is "partial 16S ribosomal RNA". It matches the Rfam family "Bacterial small subunit ribosomal RNA", at positions 524 to 776 of the family's 1533-position model. The record is from RNAcentral.
UACGUAGGUCCCGAGCGUUGUCCGGAUUUAUUGGGCGUAAAGCGAGCGCAGGUGGUUUAUUAAGUCUGGUGUAAAAGGCAGUGGCUCAACCAUUGUAUGCAUUGGAAACUGGUAGACUUGAGUGCAGGAGAGGAGAGUGGAAUUCCAUGUGUAGCGGUGAAAUGCGUAGAUAUAUGGAGGAACACCGGUGGCGAAAGCGGCUCUCUGGCCUGUAACUGACGCUGAGGUUCGAAAGCGUGGGGAGCAAAUAGG